ACUUCACAUUGUGUAGCUUUCUACUUGACUCCAAUCAAAGUAUCAGUGAGAGGCUCAGUAAAGGAGUGUGACACCUGUUUGAUACACAAUGAUCCAUGUAGGAGUGAAGUCUGUUCCUUAAAGCUACUGAGGUGUCUAACCCAGGAGUGAGCUGGCUGAUGGGCUGGCUUUGGUUUGAUGUUGUGCUGUGUGUUGUGUUCAGUCAAGGAUCUGCAGGCUUUGCUUAGAAGAUAAUAAUAUUCAUCUUUAUUUGUUCAAACAUGUAUAAAGGUGAAUAAAGUCCACUUUCUUUGUUUCCAUCAACAAACCAAACACACAACUUAUAGAAUGAAAGUAAAAUCUUAAGUGCCACAGUAGUUACAUAAAUAACAUACACAAGUAACAGAUACAUUAAUGCAAAAAGUCUGUCAGACUACGUAACAUUUUCCAGUGUUUUGACCAAGAUAGAAGGUUUGUUGUGUGUUGUUUAUUCACUGGUUGCUCUGCCAUCAUAUGGGUUUAGCCUACAGUGUGAAUUACCUUAGAGUUCUCAAAU
This is a long non-coding RNA of Epinephelus moara (kelp grouper), 535 nucleotides long. RefSeq lists it as uncharacterized. The transcript has 2 exons. Lineage: Eukaryota; Metazoa; Chordata; Actinopteri; Perciformes; Serranidae. The record is from RefSeq and is a predicted model, not a curated record.